RNAcentral lists this long non-coding RNA (1347 nucleotides) under Canis lupus familiaris (dog). RNAcentral describes it as "lncRNA (ENSCAFG00040004100.1)". The record is from RNAcentral. Lineage: Eukaryota; Metazoa; Chordata; Mammalia; Carnivora; Canidae.
GGCCAGAGUCACAGAACCGUUGUACGCUCAGCUGAGACCCAAACCAGUCUCCUGAUUCCAACUUUGGUAUUAUUCCCACAAUUCUUCUCACCCAACUGGUAGGCUAAACUAAAAACUUUGGAGCGUUCUUGACAGAAGGGCUUUCUUAAAUAUUCAGCUUCGCAAACAGAAGCCAACCAGGCAUCUAAUUCACGAAUUUUCCAGUUGUUUCCACUGCCAAAGGCAACGGCCCUCAUUCAGUCUUACAUGAGAACCUAUAAAUUUUAAAGAAUAUUAAUGAUAUUGAGAUACAUAGGAAGAUGCUUAUUUACCCUGUUGACCAACACGAGCAUAUAAAGUAAAUGAUUAGCGAAAGACAAGCGGAAUGUGUAUUUACAUGUUAUGAUAUAUGCAGGGGUAACAUGAGUGGUACAAAUGUAUUUUUAAUUUGAGUGUAUUUAUUACUUGUGAAAGUGAAGACUAAUUACGCUGUCUCGAUUCUGGCGUUACGAGAGGGGUUCCUGGGGAAGCUCACCCCCUCCUCGCGUUGCUUCCAACAUUGCAGGCUGCUGCUCUGCUGGGGUGGGUGCUGGGGCGGGUUUCCGGAAGGAGACUGGAAGGACGAAGGGGAGAGAGAUUUAGCUUCCCUUCACAUUGCCCGGCCAGGUCCGUGCAUAAUUGUGACGUCCUCUCGCAACUUCUCCGUCUUGCAUCUGAGGCUGUAAUUCAACUCCCGCUCGGUGGGCCCGACGGGGGGCAGCCCGCCAGGAGAUGCAUGUGAGGUGUGGCGAAUCUGUCCACUGGGGUUUUAAAUCACUGGGCUCGAGCCAAUGCCGUUGGAGGCCCGGCCCGCGGGAUUGGAAUCGUGGCUCCCACUGGUGCCCGAAGGCCGUUGCAAACUUCAUCCGGGGCAGAAGCGGUUACUCUUGCUGACGCAGAUGCCCGGUUAGGAGAAGAAGGCAGAAAAGAAGUGGGGAAGGGUGAAGCGGGGUAUGGCCUCCGUGACGUCAUUUCUUCAUCUCUAGAGGCUUCCACUCGGGCCAUUAGUGGCUUACUCCUCUUCUCCACCCUCUGAUCUUCAUCAGAUUAGAGGCCUCUACGGAUGGGUGUGAACUGAGGGCUUCCAAGCGCUGGGAGGCUUCUCGAUGCACCGCAGAACCUUCGGGCCCGCGUUGGAAACCCCAAUAUCCGAGCGGCACCCUGGACCAUUUCUAUCAGACUCUCUGGGGUAAGAUUUGGCUGAUUCCACUGUGCAGCCGGGGUUGGGAAUCACCGCCCUGAGUUGCGGCUGAUGCGCCCUCUCGCCUGCUUUCUCUCCUCAAGGAGGACUUUUCCUGGGGCCCGGUGGCGGGGAGGAGGGGCCCUUAA